This is a long non-coding RNA of Gadus macrocephalus (Pacific cod), 928 nucleotides long. RefSeq lists it as uncharacterized. NCBI's taxonomy places the organism in Eukaryota, Metazoa, Chordata, Actinopteri, Gadiformes, Gadidae. The transcript is spliced from 2 exons. The record is from RefSeq and is a predicted model, not a curated record.
UGUAUGGACAUUAAGAUCUCUUUAAUCAAAGCAUUGUUUUACAUCUCGGAUUCUUUUUAUAACUGAAUUGAUUUGUUAAUUAAUGUAUUUUGAGCGGUAAAGUUACAGCAGAAAGCAGAUGCAUCUUUUUUGAUGCACAGCGAAAUAUUGCCUUAGUUGAUGUAUUUUUUUAUUACAUGAAGAUGACAUGCACAUUUGUAUCCCUCAAAUUUCCUUCGCUAGUAGAAGAUCAAUAAAAUAAAUGAACAACGUCACAGCCUCACAAUAAGAUGUAUUUGUUACUAAAUUAUAUUCUCCAGGAAUAAACUAUUGCUCCUAGACAAUUUGCAACACAAUCAAGAGACCAACACAUACAUAUUAUAAAUACAUUUAAAUUAAAAACAUUUAUUCCAAAGAGUUAAUUACUUUAAACAUAGGGGCCGAAGCAGAUACCAAUAUUAGGGAGUCAAAAAUUACAGAACUUAAUUUAUCAACCGAUAUUCAAAAUAUAGAUAUAUCGUUAUUCUGUGUGUAUAUUGUGUGGGUGGAGCAUCUCUAUUGGAUUUCAGCUCUUACCUUCCAGCAAUGCUUUGGGCCUGGUGCGUUCGACAUUCAAGUUAUAAGCUAAAGGUACCAAUUACACCCGGAACAUGAUGUAAAGUUGUGUUGGGAGAGUUAACGUUGUGCUCAGUUAACGUAUUAAGAGGUUCAUCCAGCACAGUUUAUUUACAUUUAUAUAUCAACACCAUUUCACCAAGCAAAUUGACAUAACAUUUUAUAAAAUAUAUAAUUUGCCUGGCAACAUUCCCUUCAUCAAAAAUUAUUACAAGCCAACAGAAAUAUAAUUCAACUUUCCAUUUAGACUCUGUUUCAUCAAAAAAAAAAAAAAAAAGAUUAUGGCAAACAAUCUUCUGAAGCUGUUUCACAUUCGUCCAAAACCAUCGCAAAA